This 164-nucleotide ribosomal RNA is filed under the name uncultured bacterium. RNAcentral describes it as "partial 16S ribosomal RNA". It matches the Rfam family "Bacterial small subunit ribosomal RNA", at positions 355 to 511 of the family's 1533-position model. The record is from RNAcentral.
UAGGGAAUCUUCCACAAUGGGCGGAAGCCUGAUGGAGCAACGCCGCGUGUGUGAUGAAGGGUUUCGGCUCGUAAAACACUGUUGUAAGAGAAGAAUGACAUUGAGAGUAACUGUUCAAUGUGUGACGGUAUCUUACCAGAAAGGAACGGCUAAAUACGUGCCAG